This 107-nucleotide small nuclear RNA is filed under the name Phocoena sinus (vaquita). Lineage: Eukaryota; Metazoa; Chordata; Mammalia; Artiodactyla; Phocoenidae. The record is from RNAcentral. RNAcentral also lists the same sequence under 1 other name.
GUGCUCGCUUCGGCAGCACGUAUACUAAAAUUGGAACGAUACAGAGAAGAUUAGCAUGGUCCCUACACAAGGAUGACACACAAAUUUGUGAAGCGUUCCAUAUUUUU